GAUGAACGCUAGCGGGAGGCUUAACACAUGCAAGUCGAGGGGCAUCGAGAGUAGCAAUACUUGUCGGCGACCGGCGCAAGGGUGCGUAACACGUGAGCAACAUACCCGUUUCAGGAGGAUAACCGGAGGAAACUCUGCCUAAUACUCCAUGACAUCAUCAAACGGCAUCGUUUGAUGAUUAAAGAUUUAUCGGAAACGGCUUGGCUCGCGGGACAUUAGCUCGUUGGUGAGGUAACGGCUCACCAAGGCCACGAUGUCUAGGGGUUCUGAGAGGAAGGUCCCCCACACUGGAACUGAGACACGGUCCAGACUCCUACGGGAGGCAGCAGUGAGGAAUAUUGGACAAUGGAUGGAAAUCUGAUCCAGCCAUGCCGCGUGCAGGAAGACGGCCCUAUGGGUUGUAAACUGCUUUUAAUGGGACAAUAAGGUUUACGCGUAGACCGAUGAGAGUACCAUAUGAAUAAGCAUCGGCUAACUCCGUGCC
Molecule: ribosomal RNA, 484 nt
Filed under: uncultured bacterium
Lineage: Bacteria
Description: bacterial SSU rRNA
Rfam family: Bacterial small subunit ribosomal RNA
Source: RNAcentral